RNAcentral lists this ribosomal RNA (394 nucleotides) under uncultured bacterium. RNAcentral describes it as "partial 16S ribosomal RNA". It matches the Rfam family "Bacterial small subunit ribosomal RNA", at positions 338 to 729 of the family's 1533-position model. The record is from RNAcentral.
CCUACGGGAGGCAGCAGUGAGGAAUAUUGGUCAAUGGGCGUAAGCCUGAACCAGCCAAGUCGCGUGCGGGAUGAAGGUCCUACGGUUUGUAAACUUCUUUUAUAAGGGAAUAAAGUGCCGGACGUGUACCGUUUUGUAUGUACCUUAUGAAUAAGGAUCGGCUAACUCCGUGCCAGCAGCCGCGGUAAUACGGGGGAUCCGAGCGUUAUCCGGAUGUAUUGGGUUUAAAGGGUGCGUAGGCGGCCUUUUAAGUCAGUGGUGAAAGUUUGUGGCUCAACCAUAGAAUUGCCGUGGAUACUGGCAGGCUUGAGUAUGUUAGAGGCAGGCGGAAUGCGUGGUGUAGCGGUGAAAUGCGUAGAUAUCACGAAGAACCCCGAUUGCGAAGGCAGCCUGC